Molecule: ribosomal RNA, 523 nt
Filed under: Hydrogenophaga sp.
Lineage: Bacteria; Pseudomonadati; Pseudomonadota; Betaproteobacteria; Burkholderiales; Comamonadaceae
Description: partial 23S ribosomal RNA
Rfam family: Bacterial large subunit ribosomal RNA
Source: RNAcentral
AGGACAUAGUGAUCCGGUGGUUCUGUAUGGAAGGGCCAUCGCUCAACGGAUAAAAGGUACUCUGGGGAUAACAGGCUGAUACCGCCCAAGAGUUCAUAUCGACGGCGGUGUUUGGCACCUCGAUGUCGGCUCAUCUCAUCCUGGGGCUGUAGCCGGUCCCAAGGGUAUGGCUGUUCGCCAUUUAAAGAGGUACGUGAGCUGGGUUUAAAACGUCGUGAGACAGUUUGGUCCCUAUCUUCCGUGGGCGCUGCAGAUUUGAGGAAGCCUGCUCCUAGUACGAGAGGACCGGAGUGGACACACCUCUGGUGUAUCGGUUGUCACGCCAGUGGCAUUGCCGAGUAGCUAAGUGCGGAAGAGAUAACCGCUGAAAGCAUCUAAGCGGGAAACUCGUUCCAAGAUGAGAUCUGCCGGGGCCUUGAGCCCCCUAAAGAGUCGUUCAAGACCAGGACGUUGAUAGGCUGGGUGUGGAAGCGCAGCAAUGCGUUAAGCUAACCAGUACUAAUUGCCCGUAAGGCUUGUCCCU